GCCGUGGUGGCUGGGAAAUAGCUCAGUUGGGCGAAUAUAUGACUCUUACUCUCAAGGUUGUGGGUUUGAACCCCACAUUGGGCA
This is a non-coding RNA of Podarcis lilfordi (Lilford's wall lizard), 84 nucleotides long. The record is from the annotation of a GenBank genome assembly. Lineage: Eukaryota; Metazoa; Chordata; Lepidosauria; Squamata; Lacertidae.